GUCCACGCUGUAAACGAUGGAUACUAGGUGUAGGAGGUAUCGACCCCUUCUGUGCCGGAGUUAACACAAUAAGUAUCCCACCUGGGGAGUACGGCCGCAAGGUUGAAACUCAAAGGAAUUGACGGGGCCCGCACAAGCAGUGGAGUAUGUGGUUUAAUUCGAAGCAACGCGAAGAACCUUACCAGGGCUUGACAUAAUGGUGAAUACAGUAGAGAUACUGUAGUCUUUCGGGACGCCAUUACAGGUGGUGCAUGGUUGUCGU
Molecule: ribosomal RNA, 262 nt
Filed under: uncultured bacterium
Lineage: Bacteria
Description: partial 16S ribosomal RNA
Rfam family: Bacterial small subunit ribosomal RNA
Source: RNAcentral